AACGAACGCUGGCGGCAUGCCUAACACAUGCAAGUCGAACGAGACCUUCGGGUCUAGUGGCGCACGGGUGCGUAACGCGUGGGAAUCUACCCUUGGGUUCGGAAUAACAUUUAGAAAUGACUGCUAAUACCGGCUGAUGACGUAAGUCCAAAGAUUUAUCGCACAAGGAUGAGCCCGCGUAAGAUUAGCUUGUUGGUGGGGUAAUGGCCUACCAAGGCGACGAUCUUUAGCUGGUCUGAGAGGAUGAUCAGCCACACUGGGACUGAGACACGGCCCAGACUCCUACGGGAGGCAGCAGUGGGGAAUAUUGGACAAUGGGCGAAAGCCUGAUCCAGCAAUGCCGCGUGAGUGAUGAAGGCCUUAGGGUUGUAAAGCUCUUUUACCAGGGAUGAUAAUGACAGUACCUGGAGAAUAAGCUCCGGCUAACUCCGUGCCAGCAGCCGCCGUAA
Molecule: ribosomal RNA, 449 nt
Filed under: uncultured bacterium
Lineage: Bacteria
Description: partial 16S ribosomal RNA
Rfam family: Bacterial small subunit ribosomal RNA
Source: RNAcentral